This 888-nucleotide ribosomal RNA is filed under the name uncultured marine group I thaumarchaeote. Its description in RNAcentral is "SSU rRNA". It matches the Rfam family "Archaeal small subunit ribosomal RNA", at positions 12 to 905 of the family's 1478-position model. The record is from RNAcentral. Lineage: Archaea; Thermoproteati; Nitrososphaerota.
UCCUGCCGGACCUGACUGCUAUCGGAUUGAUACUAAGCCAUGCGAGUCAUUGUAGCAAUACAAGGCAGACGGCUCAGUAACGCGUAGUCAACCUACCCUAUGGACGGGAAUAACCUCGGGAAACUGAGUAUAAUGCCCGAUAGAACAUUAUGCCUGGAAGGGUUUAUGUUCCAAAUGAUUUAUCGCCGUAGGAUGGGACUGCGGCCUAUCAGUUUGUUGGUGAGGUAAUGGCCCACCAAGACUAUUACAGGUACGGGCUCUGAGAGGAGUAGCCCGGAGAUGGGUACUGAGACACGGACCCAGGCCCUAUGGGGCGCAGCAGGCGAGAAAACUUUGCAAUGUGCGAAAGCACGACAAGGUUAAUCCGAGUGAUUUCUGCUAAAGAAAUCUUUUGCCAGUCAUAAAACCACUGGUGAAUAAGGGGUGGGCAAGUUCUGGUGUCAGCCGCCGCGGUAAAACCAGCACCUCAAGUGGUCAGGAUGAUUAUUGGGCCUAAAGCAUCCGUAGCCGGCUUUGUAAGUUUUCGGUUAAAUCCAUGUGCUCAACGCAUGGGCUGCCGAAAAUACUGCAUGGCUAGGGAGUGGGAGAGGUAGACGGUACUCAGUAGGAAGGGGUAAAAUCCUUUGAUCUAUUGAUGACCGCCUGUGGCGAAGGCGGUCUACCAGAACACGUUCGACGGUGAGGGAUGAAAGCUGGGGGAGCAAACCGGAUUAGAUACCCGGGUAGUCCCAGCUGUAAACGAUGCAGACUCGAUGAUGCAUUGGCAUAAUAGCCAGUGCAGUGUCGCAGGGAAGCCGUUAAGUCUGCCGCCUGGGAAGUACGUACGCAAGUAUGAAACUUAAAGGAAUUGGCGGGGGAGCACCACAAGGGGUGAAGCCUGCGGUUCAA